GCUGGGCAUGGUGGUGCAUGCCUGUAAUCCCAGUGGCUUGGGAGGCUGAAGCAGAGGAUCGUGCCUCAGCAAAAACGAGGGGCUAAAAACUCAGUGAGAUCCUCUCU
RNAcentral lists this small RNA (107 nucleotides) under Marmota monax (woodchuck). Lineage: Eukaryota; Metazoa; Chordata; Mammalia; Rodentia; Sciuridae. The record is from RNAcentral.